Molecule: transfer RNA, 84 nt
Filed under: Parasphaerochaeta coccoides DSM 17374
Lineage: Bacteria; Pseudomonadati; Spirochaetota; Spirochaetia; Spirochaetales; Sphaerochaetaceae
Description: tRNA-Leu (CAA) (tRNA-Leu-CAA-1-1)
Rfam family: tRNA
About the family: Transfer RNA (tRNA) molecules are approximately 80 nucleotides in length. Their secondary structure includes four short double-helical elements and three loops (D, anti-codon, and T loops). Further hydrogen bonds mediate the characteristic L-shaped molecular structure. tRNAs have two regions of fundamental functional importance: the anti-codon, which is responsible for specific mRNA codon recognition, and the 3' end, to which the tRNAs corresponding amino acid is attached (by aminoacyl-tRNA synthetases). tRNAs cope with the degeneracy of the genetic code in two manners: having more than one tRNA (with a specific anti-codon) for a particular amino acid; and 'wobble' base-pairing, i.e. permitting non-standard base-pairing at the 3rd anti-codon position.
Source: Rfam by way of RNAcentral
GCCGGCAUGGUGAAAUUGGUAGACACGAUAGACUCAAAAUCUAUUGGGAGCAAUCCUGUCCCGGUUCGAGUCCGGGUGCCGGCA